UCUACCCUUUUCACUUGAGACAUAGUUUGUUAAGAUACCCCAGCCCGGUGCUAGUAGAUUAGCAAUUCUACUAGCAUGUAUUUGCUUAACUUUAGUUUCUACUAAUCCGACUAGGUUAAUGUUGUUUUUUCUAAUAUACUCCCUAACUUCUUUCUGCUUGUACCUUUUAUGUACACCCCUUAUAUUCCAAACUAACCACUUCAUUGAUGAGAUGUUGAUCCCCCUAACUCCCCUGGAGGGUCUUCUUUGCUACCAGAAACUACUUCGAAUCUAUUACUCACAGUGAUGGGGGACAUAGGUAGGAAAUUAGUGAUGUUGAGUGCUGGACUCUGAGGUUGUUUCCCUUUG
Molecule: long non-coding RNA, 348 nt
Filed under: Nicotiana benthamiana
Lineage: Eukaryota; Viridiplantae; Streptophyta; Magnoliopsida; Solanales; Solanaceae
Description: long non-coding RNA (NBEN_LNC014178)
Source: RNAcentral